UGAACUUUCUCGGCGUCAGCAUGCCUUGACACACCACUUCAGCUCUUUUACAUAUUUUAACAUUUGUUUUCAAUGAAUUCUCACCACUAUUUGAUUUACUCCAAAGAGAAGAAGAUGAAGGAGAAAUGAAUGGUUUGAGGAAUAUCAUCAUUGUUUGAGGCAUUUACAAUUUACAAUUUGGUUCCCCUUCACCUUCACUGCACUACAA
RNAcentral lists this unclassified non-coding RNA (208 nucleotides) under Hevea brasiliensis (rubber tree). Lineage: Eukaryota; Viridiplantae; Streptophyta; Magnoliopsida; Malpighiales; Euphorbiaceae. The record is from RNAcentral.